Molecule: ribosomal RNA, 478 nt
Filed under: uncultured bacterium
Lineage: Bacteria
Description: bacterial SSU rRNA
Rfam family: Bacterial small subunit ribosomal RNA
Source: RNAcentral
AACUAACGCUGGCGGCGUGCCUAACACAUGCAAGUCGUACGAGAAAGUUGGCUUCGGCCGAUGAGUAAAGUGGCGCACGGGUGAGUAAUGCGUGGAUAAUCUGCCCUUUAGUUGGGAAUAACGUACCGAAAGGUGCGCUAAUACCUGAUAAUACUGCAUAACUACUGUUGUGUAGUCAAAGAAGGCCUCUGUUUACAAGCUUUUGCUGAAGGAUGAGUCCGCGUACCAUUAGCUGGUUGGUGGGGUAAUGGCCUACCAAGGCUACGAUGGUUAGCUGGUCUGAGAGGAUGAUCAGCCACACUGGAACUGAGACACGGUCCAGACUCCUACGGGAGGCAGCAGUGAGGAAUAUUGCGCAAUGGGCGAAAGCCUGAUCCAGCGACGCCGCGUGGAGGACGAAGCCCUUCGGGGUGUAAACUCCUUUUCUCAGGGAAAAAGGAUGAUGGUACCUGAGGAAUAAGCCCCGGCUAACUACGUG